Molecule: ribosomal RNA, 231 nt
Filed under: Escherichia coli
Lineage: Bacteria; Pseudomonadati; Pseudomonadota; Gammaproteobacteria; Enterobacterales; Enterobacteriaceae
Description: partial 23S ribosomal RNA
Rfam family: Bacterial large subunit ribosomal RNA
Source: RNAcentral
AACGUCCGUCGUGAAGAGGGAAACAACCCAGACCGCCAGCUAAGGUCCCAAAGUCAUGGUUAAGUGGGAAACGAUGUGGGAAGGCCCAGACAGCCAGGAUGUUGGCUUAGAAGCAGCCAUCAUUUAAAGAAAGCGUAAUAGCUCACUGGUCGAGUCGGCCUGCGCGGAAGAUGUAACGGGGCUAAACCAUGCACCGAAGCUGCGGCAGCGACGCUUAUGCGUUGUUGGGUA